RNAcentral lists this transfer RNA (72 nucleotides) under Camelus bactrianus (Bactrian camel). It matches the Rfam family "tRNA". From Rfam's summary of the family: Transfer RNA (tRNA) molecules are approximately 80 nucleotides in length. Their secondary structure includes four short double-helical elements and three loops (D, anti-codon, and T loops). Further hydrogen bonds mediate the characteristic L-shaped molecular structure. tRNAs have two regions of fundamental functional importance: the anti-codon, which is responsible for specific mRNA codon recognition, and the 3' end, to which the tRNAs corresponding amino acid is attached (by aminoacyl-tRNA synthetases). tRNAs cope with the degeneracy of the genetic code in two manners: having more than one tRNA (with a specific anti-codon) for a particular amino acid; and 'wobble' base-pairing, i.e. permitting non-standard base-pairing at the 3rd anti-codon position. RNAcentral also lists the same sequence under 2 other names. The record is from Rfam by way of RNAcentral. Lineage: Eukaryota; Metazoa; Chordata; Mammalia; Artiodactyla; Camelidae.
GGGGGUAUAGCUCAGUGAUAGAGUGCAUGCCUGACAUGCACAAGGUCCUGGGUUCAAUCCUCAGUACAAUCA